RNAcentral lists this ribosomal RNA (253 nucleotides) under uncultured bacterium. RNAcentral describes it as "partial 16S ribosomal RNA". It matches the Rfam family "Bacterial small subunit ribosomal RNA", at positions 524 to 776 of the family's 1533-position model. The record is from RNAcentral.
AACGUAGGACACAAGCGUUAUCCGGAGUUACUGGGCGUAAAGGGUGUGUAGGCGGUUGCUUAAGUUUGGUGUGAAAUCUCCCGGCUCAACUGGGAGGGUGCGCCGAAUACUGAGUGACUCGAGUGCGGGAGAGGAGAGUGGAAUUCCUGGUGUAGCGGUGAAAUGCGUAGAUAUCAGGAGGAACACCGGUGGUGUAGACGGCUCUCUGGACCGUAACUGACGCUGAGACACGAAAGCGUGGGUAGCAAACAGG